GGGCUCCUGAUUCUUAGAAGGUAGAGAAGAGCAUAUAGAGGGAAUUGUGAGUAAGCCAGAUUAAUGCACCAGAAAAAGUAGAAACUGCACCAGAAAAAGUAGAAACUGCACCAGAAAAAGUAGAAACUGUACCAAGAACAGGAAGGACGGAUUGGCACCAGUGAAUUCAAACAAUAACCAGGUCUCAAGCAGUAGCCACCUCCAGUCUGAUACAAAGGAUUACUCCCUCCCCAGUGCCAGCUGGAGCCCCAUCAUGGUGAGGCUCUACAAUGAGUUCAUGGAGAAGACUGUGGAUGGGUCAUGGACAAGACUUCCAGGUUGUUGGUGCUCUGUGCAAUUCCUUAAAGAAGCAGACCUUACUAAGAUUGCUAAAGCUGUCCCUGCCAUCUUCUUACAAAUGAAGUGACGCAGAUGCAAGGUGCUGCAAGGCCCACCUCCUCCUGCUCUGACAGGCAGACAGGAAACCAAAGCCCC
RNAcentral lists this long non-coding RNA (474 nucleotides) under Homo sapiens (human). RNAcentral describes it as "HSALNT0311315". The record is from RNAcentral. Lineage: Eukaryota; Metazoa; Chordata; Mammalia; Primates; Hominidae.